GAAGACAAUCGAUUGACCAUAAA
RNAcentral lists this small nuclear RNA (23 nucleotides) under Arabidopsis thaliana (thale cress). RNAcentral describes it as "snRNA_09911". The record is from RNAcentral. Lineage: Eukaryota; Viridiplantae; Streptophyta; Magnoliopsida; Brassicales; Brassicaceae.